UCCUGGAGGGAUAGUUUAGUUGGUAGAGUGUGAGACUCUUAAUCUCAGGGUUGUGGGUUCCAGACCCACGCUGGGCA
Molecule: non-coding RNA, 77 nt
Organism: Podarcis lilfordi (Lilford's wall lizard)
Lineage: Eukaryota; Metazoa; Chordata; Lepidosauria; Squamata; Lacertidae
Source: the annotation of a GenBank genome assembly